GCAAGAGAGAGAGUCCAGGGACCGGCUCCUCGGCGGGUGCAAACUGGCAGAGCCCUCUGGACUCCAGUGGAGGGACGCCAGUUCACACCCGCUGGGGAUCAUCCGGUAGGAUGAUGCUGAUUUACACCCGCUGGGGAUCUGGCCCCAGUGAGGCUGCAGGCGUCUCUCCCGCACGGUGCGAUUCUCUUUGCCCUUGUCCCACAGACGGCGCGAGCAGCAGCGGAGGAGGGCAGGAUCCGACCCGCACAGGGCCAGUCACGUCCCUCACCAUCUGGGCCGCCCGCUGCGCUCUGGUCCUGCUCCUCCUGGUGUCUGUUCCCGUCAUCACCUUCAUACUGGAGAAACGGGGCCUGUCCGAGCCUGCAAGGCUGGAGGAGACUCCUCGGGAAGCAGCAGCAUCAUGGGAAUGAAAGGCCUGGGAAUGGGAGAACCCCAUUGACCAGCUGUGAGCAGGAGGCGGGGUGGGGAGAGGCCUGGGAAGAUACCAGUGCCCAGCUCUGAGAGGGGGUUGGGGAGACACCAUUGGUCAGUGCUGCACAAUAGGCCCCUGCGGUAACUGUCUUUGCCCAGGUAACUCCUGCAGCCUCCUUCAGUCCCCCUCCCUUCCCCAGUUGGGAUGCUGUCAGUCACUCUGCCCUGCAGCCUGCAGCCCUCUGCUCACUCCCAGGCAGGCCAGGGCCAGGCCAAGUUCUUACCCAACCAAGAGCUGUCUCAGACAGACAGCCCAACCCAGCUCCUUCCUUCUGUACAAAUAAUCCCUGCAGAGAGGCUGUAAGUUUAGAAAAGGAGGAUGGGCUAGUUGUUAAGGCACCAAGGUGGAACUUCUGGGAGAUGCUCUGCGACAGAGUCCUUGGACCUGUCACUGCCUCUCUCUGGGCCUCAGCUCCUCAUCUUUGAAAUGGGGACAAUAAUUCUGCCUUGCCUAAGGGGAGAAUUUUCAAAGCCCCUAAGGGAUUUAGGAGCACAAGUGUGUGACUGUGCUCUGUGCCCACUGCCUGGUGCUCCCUCAGGUGCUUUUGAAUAUCUCCCCCUUAGUUUGGGAACUCCUCCGGCCAGGGGCUGUCUCUCACUAAGGGUUCAUCUGCACAGGGAAAUGGACCAGAAGAACUACACUGGUGUCAUAAAAUCACUGCAGUUAUUCCGGGAUAACGCUCCAUGGGGACAUUCUUAUUCCGGAAUCAGAGAGCCCUGGUCAGGGUUUGUUUACACCAUUUUCAAAGUGACAUAAGCUAAACUGGACAAAGCCCCUCAUACACUGGAAUAAAGAUGUCCCCACGGGGAGUUAUUCAGGGAUAGCUCUCGUGGGCUAGGUAGACCAAUGUGGUUCUCCUGGUCAAUUUUCCCCAUUCAGACCAGACCUGAGUGUCUGUGCAGCACCCAGAGCAAAGGGGCCCUGACCUUGGCUGUGGUCUCUGAAGGGUCCUUUUAUAUAAAUAAUAACGGCAAAAUGCAGUCAGGGCUAACCUGUGUAGGGUGCAGCGGCCUUUCCCACCACUGGAAGGACGCAUGCCCCCCUGGGAUGUCUCAUGUCUAUACAGGGCCUUCAGCGAUACACACUUUCACAUCUGGGAACGUAGAUGGUGGCAUCAGGGUCCAUUGUGGGGUUUACAGACAAUGUGCAAUUCUUAAAAUAGGGGAGCAGAGAUAAGAAGAAACCCCUGGUAAUGUUUCAUCUCUGACCUCUUCAGCCUUUUCCAGGUGAAGGUACCUACCUACCCACUAGAUGGGGCUUUGCAACAAUCCCAUUGCAAAACUCCACCUUACCUAUGGUUUCCGUGUGUUUCCAUGCCCAGACCUGAAGAAGAGCUCUGUGCAAGCUCAUAAGCUUCUCUCCCACCAACAGAUGCUUGUCCAAUAAACGAUAUUACCUCCCCCA
This is a non-coding RNA of Chrysemys picta bellii (western painted turtle), 1876 nucleotides long. The record is from RefSeq and is a predicted model, not a curated record. NCBI's taxonomy places the organism in Eukaryota, Metazoa, Chordata, Testudines, Emydidae.